Long non-coding RNA from Bubalus bubalis (water buffalo), 593 nucleotides. RefSeq lists it as uncharacterized. The record is from RefSeq and is a predicted model, not a curated record. The transcript has 3 exons. Lineage: Eukaryota; Metazoa; Chordata; Mammalia; Artiodactyla; Bovidae.
CUUGCCAUAGAUGUGGGUGAUAGAGCCAUCAAGCCACAGUGUUCAGCUCUGAACAAUCACCCAUACUCAGAGGAAGGUCAGAACCCAUCAUCAUGCUUGUGAUGAGUCAUGCCAAACUGCACCUCGAGCUGUAGAUGAGGAGACACAGUUUGGAAAGGUUAAUUAACGUGCAACAAGCCACACAGCUGAAAAGAACUACUACUUGGACCUAAACCCAGAUCUUUACAUCAAAGCCCAUGCUGUUCCACUCCACCACACUGAGAAACUGCCUAAGGAUGCCUGACACCUACUUUCCAGAGGAAAAAGAGUGACAAAAUCUGAAAUAUAAGGACCAUCUGCAAAGAGAAACCAUUUGUCCUUAGCUCAGCCCCUGGCAUGUGCUUUAUGGGAACACGCUGCCUUGGGAAACAUCAGUUUAUGUCACUCAUUCAUCUGCUGCAUGGCUGUUAGAGGAGCAGACGUGCUUCAGGGGAGAUUCCCACUCCAGUCCUGAAUCAGCGUGCUAGAGGGCAAUUCUAAUUCUGAAAUCCAGUACAUGUAAACCACAUAUUUCAACAUCAGUGCUAUCACUAAUAAAAAUGAAAGUUCAUUUC